RNAcentral lists this long non-coding RNA (597 nucleotides) under Mytilus galloprovincialis (Mediterranean mussel). The record is from RNAcentral. Lineage: Eukaryota; Metazoa; Mollusca; Bivalvia; Mytilida; Mytilidae.
AGAAUUCAACUCUAUAUAUAACUAAUAUAGGACAAUAGUGUAGAUUAUAAAUUACACCACUCCAGACCCUUUUGUUUUCCACAUAAUUAAUAUUGCCAAUAAUUAACAAGUUCCGGGUCUAAUCCGAUACCGAUACCAAUAGUAUAUUCACCUGUUAGCUAUUACCUUAUCUGUACGUUCCGCAUUUGACAGGCGCACCACCAAACGGUGUAUUUAGGAUUUUGCUAUAUACACGGGUCAUAAUCAAAGGGCUGACACUACUAAAUUCAAUCAUUGUCAAAUUGUUCCCUAUUGUAGCUUUAUUCAGCAAUCAGCAAGACUUUCUAGAUACUAAUAUAGGACAAUGCUGUUGAUUAAAAAAUACCCCAUUCCUGGAUAGCCUGGACCUUUUGUUUUCCAAAUAAUUAAUAUUUCCAAUAAUUGAUAAGUUCCAGGUCGACGGGUUCAAACAGAAAGAUUUGAAAGCAGAGAAAACUGUGUAUCUUAUAAUCGAGAUGACUUUAUCAGAUGACAAUACCAAUUACUAAAAUAAGGCUUAGGCAUAGUUAUAUACUUUAAUUCAGUCACGGACACGCGAUAUCACGGGUGUGUACUUGU